Molecule: unclassified non-coding RNA, 141 nt
Filed under: soil metagenome
Description: partial internal transcribed spacer 1
Source: RNAcentral
UAUAAGUGUUUAUGGCACUUUUAAAUCCAUAUCCACCUUGGUUGCAAUGUCAGUCGAUCUUCUUCAUGGAGAUCGACCAAACAUCAACCUUUAUCUUUUAACUCUUUGUCUGAAAAUAUUAUGAAUAAACAAUUCAAAAUA